CAGAAAUAAAGAGGGAGAGAAGAGGAAGGACAAUUUUCUGACCAUGUCACUGUGUUGAUUCAGAGAUCAAUAAUCUUCUGCUGGAGAUGUACUUGCAAAAACAAGCCAGGAGGUUUCCCUGCAUAAUGCCACAGCACAAACUUGCACCAGCAUUAUCUUACAGGUCUGUGCUGCUCACCCAGGAGCCUACAUGAUACCACACACAGUCAACAUUAUAUAGUUCCCAAAUGAAGGUCAUUUACCCUAAUGUCAAAUGGAAUUUCUUUUGUUCCUUGACAAAAAGUGUCCAACUCAGAAUAAAGAGACAACAAGAGAAGCAAAAUGAAGUUGAACAGUCUGCAUAUGAAAAACAUAUCUGAAUGCUUUGAGCAUUUUCAGGCCUGAAGCUGAUGUUCCUCUGUGGCAAAAGGAGCUGAAGGGUACCAUGGGAUCACUGAAUCUUUCUCUGCGUAAAUCACAGCAAAGUCAGAAAUGUUUGGAAAAGACCUGACCUUAGCAGGGUGAGGGUGGCUCUAGUUGUUUGUAAAUUAAGCACAACACUCACACUUCAGCUACUGUUUAAUUAGGAAAAUCAACAUAUUUGAUGAGAAAUAUUAUAACAAAAUAAAUUUUUAGCAAUAAAAUAUCUGGAUGAGUAUUUCCUAAAUUUCUGUCAUUUUCCCAGUAUUGCAAAUGCUGCAUUAUUGCUUUCCAGAAAUUCUUACUGCUUUGUUUCCAAAAUGUCCUGAAAAGAUUCAUACUUUUUCUUCUCUUCCCAUUUACAGUGUGAAGGCCCAUCUGUGCUUUCUGCUGCAAGCUACAAAACCAGAAGUUUCCUUGUCCUGGAAAGGGUGAUUUUUAUCCAAGAUCUUAAAAGAGGAGUGAGCCACGUGACUGUAGGGAUGCAGUCCAACCGACUCAUGAGGGGCUCAGCAGAGGGAGAUGAGGCACGUGGUAGGUAGUGUCUCAGUCCUGUGGUGAUGGAGAGCUUCCCAUGGGAUCGCAUCAGCGCUGAUGCUAUUGGUUCUUGGUAAGACAUCCCAGGAUGACAUCUGUAAUGGAGAAUUAAUGUUCCUGUAGUCUCUGCCUGCUUCGGAACACCAGUACUGCAAGCUGGGAACUGUCAGCUGGAACUGCAGGCCACCAGCUGCAUUUCUCUGCUCCAGAGACUUGGGGACAGCCCUCAGGGGUUGUGACAAAGUAGACGCAACUGAGGUGACUACCUGAUCCUUAGUCUUCUUGAUUUCUUGUUGACAUGAAGAGUCUGUCUUUUGUUUUCCCACAUUGCUAGAGGAUGGUAGCAAAAACAUUAAUGGAUGUGGAUCAGCAACAUCGCUCACAGACUGGGAGAGGAGGAAGGAUAUCCUGUCCUUCACUACUGAAGUUUAAUACCAACUUGCUGACCAAUCCAUGGCACUCAUAUUCCUGUCAGCAGAUCUGGAUUUUACAGCAGCAAAUAAGCCACUAAUGGUACAAACUCUUUCUCAAUAUGGUGUAAUACUUGACCAACCCGGGCCAAAAAAUGAAGUCAAUUCAUCUAAUGAAUAGAGUGCAAAAAAUCUGCAAGGCAAUAUUGAAAGGAUGCUGCACUGAAGGAAAACAAGGAAGCAACAAAAGUUACAAGAAACUCAUUUUUUGAGGACAAAAUGGAAAAAUAUUCUACAGGAAUGUUGUUCUUGUGGUCUGAAAGCCAAUUUGAGUGAUCUGGGUAUGGGAAGCUGAGGCAUGGGCAGCAGUAAAACAUGCCAGAAGUAUGGUAACUUGGGAUCUACGUUCAUCCUGCGUGGAAAGAUUUUGAGAUUCCUCACAUCUGGAAAUGUAUGGUCCUUCUGGAUCUCCUGCUGAAGACCCCUUCCAGCUGUUCCUGACAUCUCAGUACCCCUGGUUCCCUGUCAUCAGGACCAGCACCUGUCAAGAGCAUGGCUUUGUCUGCAUUGCCUGAGUGCAAAGUGGAAGCUGACAAACUGCACAGCCUGAAUUCCCGAUGACAAGACCGAGAUCCCAGAUCAAUGAGAUCACUUAGAGGCUUGUCAGCUUGGUUGGACUUUGCUGGGAACACAGGCUGCCCUCUGACAUGGAGGAAGGUAGAAGCGAGCUGACGUGCUCAGGAUGCUUUGUGAGGAAAGAAAAGCAUUGUGGUGGCUCUUUCCAGGUGCUGAGUUUGUUUCCCAAGGAACCAAGCUGGAUCACCCAAAAGCUGCUACAUGGCACCACCUUCAUUUUUAAUAGUGUGAUUCCAGCAUUGUAGUAUUGUGUACAGCCCAAUCCUCAGAUGGAAUACAAUCACGUUGUAGCUCAUUUUUAUAUCAGAUGAGGAUUCACUAGAGAUAAGAUUCUUUAGCAUCCACCCACACAUGGUACUAACAGUGAGAAACCUGUUUCACAAGGUCUUAAAGCGUGGUGCGGUAACUUGAGAGGAAAAGUGAACCUAAGAGAACUUUGAGAACCUAAGUGAACAAGGGAGAUCUAGUUAAUCCUCUGUACUUUUCCAAGCUGGAAUUAUGGCUUUUAACAUUUCUGUUCCUGAGAUGUUGGGCAACAGGCUGAAGCUGGCCAGUUUUACUUUUGAAGUAUGGAUCUUCUAUAUCAGAGGAGUCAAGGCUACAGGCAUAUCUAACAAACAACUCGAGCCUGGGACUAUCUGGAUUUUUAAGUUCAUGAUGGAAAAGGGUAUUGUCCUUGUUUUUCAGGAUGCUUAUAAGCCUACGUUAGUAAACACAGAUGAUGGCAAUUAAGGCUUUGGGAGAAUCUUGGCACGUUGGAACUGACCGCUUUUCUGAUUGAGAACUGAGAUACUGGGAGAACCCUUUAUCCCCUGGUUGAGCAAGAACAUCUUGAAUCUGUUUAUAUGUGUGUAUGAAAAAAAUUAAUUAAACCUCUACGGGCCGGAUUCCUCAAGGAUGAUAAAUGCUCAGCUGGCUUUAGGAUCCUGCACAAAAAUAUGAGUUAACCUGGAGAGCUUUUGGAUUUCAGAUAAAACUGAGGGGCAAGGUUAUGAGGCACACACAAUGAAACAUCACCACUAGCAGGUCACAUUUUUUCCAUGUACAGAGCUGGUGAAAGCACCCAGUUGGGUGAUUUUUGCUUUGUGUUAUUAAUAAACUCAACAAAUGUUACCUUUCUCAUGCACUGAUCUGAUGCCCCAGCAGUCACCCAUCCACAUUCCCUGGAGAACGGGAGCUGAGGAAGUACCCACAGCUCAAUGGAGACACAAUGCUGUUCAAGUUUUGAAUUGCUUGAAUGAUUUGUGUUUUCUCUCUCAUCCCACCAUUCCCUAUACAGCAACAUGCUGAUGAUGGUUACCUCCCAGAGGCUGGAUUCAAAUGCCUUUCCCCAGAGAGAGCUGAACCUGCAUCUCCCACAUCUUGGCUGAGUGCCUUAAAUACUUGGUAAAGGAUCUGGAUAUCCUCUUCAGUGCUGUAAACCUAGGCCAAAAAUAGUUUUCAGCUGCAACUAUAUGACUAAUUUGACCUGAGACUACUUCUGUAGGGCAAAUAUUUUAUUCACAGAAGAAAAAUACUUGCCCUCCCCUAUGAAGAAGAUAGAAGGGAGAAAGAUGUGCUACAGCAAAUGAGCCAUAAGAUCUUGUAGAAAAUGUUAGGACUUGACACUAAUAUACAGCACCGUUUCCCAAGCAAAGUUUGAAAAACCCAGAGUUCUCCUCCUCAUCUCCUUUCGCACAUAGCUAUGUCACUACUUACCUGUUGGUUUCCAGAAUAUCUCAAAGUCACUACCAUUCUUCCAAAAACCAAAGUGAGAUAAUGAAUAUAUACAUUUUAUAGCUGCAAACCCAGAGAGACGGUGCAGGUAGGUGUCUGAAAUAUGCAAAGUACUUCCAAAAAAAAAAACAACCCAAACCAACCCAAAACAUGCAAAUUAUUUGGCUUCCUACUCCUGUGUAUUACAACAACAGCUUGUAGGAGGUGCAGGGGUUGGGAAAGAGGAACAGAGCUUAAACUAUCACUUUGGAACACCGAUUUCUCAGUUUGUUUCUGCUACAUAGAUGCAUUAAUAGUUUCACAUUGUGAGCUGAGAUGUUUGCAAAGCACUUUGUUCUGUGCUGCUUCAAUGGGUAGAAGUACUGGUUCUAGGUUUUAAAAGGCAUUUCAAGUUAGGCUCCUAGGAUCACAUUCAGACAUGAAUAAAUAAUCCAAUUUUCACAUUUGCUAUUCAGCAGCUUCUCAUAGCAUAUGUGGUUGCAGCUGCAGGGCCAAUAUUUUUCUAAGUCAGGAUACUUACUCAGGGACUUGAAUGCAGGCUUGAGAUGAGUAUUUGGAAAGGGAGCUAAGUGCCCAGUUUCUAUUGAGAAAAGAUUUAGGAGUUUCACAAGCAUAACUUAUAGGCGUCCAUUAGGAAAAUCUCAGCUUUGCUGUAAAUGCCUCUGGAUUCCUUAGAUUUCAUUCAUUUGGCAGCCAGGCACCUAGCUCUUUUGUAUGAUCUGAAAGAAAUUUGCAGAGUUCUGUAUAACUUCUGUAGUCUUUCUCUGGAAAAUGAAUAAAUCAUUCAAAUGGAAAUACUCAAAUAGCUGGGCACAUAUCCAGAUACAGUAUGCCUAGCUUAGUGGCAAAAACUUACAGCACACAUCCUGUAUUGUCAAGGACUCUGAAUGUUUUGGCUGCCCUAAUAGAAAAACAAUAAUUCAAUCAUGUAUUAUAAAGGAAUUUUCUGGAGACAUUUGGCUUUGCUCUAUCACCCUAUUAGAUUUGUUCUUAAUGUGGAAGAACAGCCCACUACAUUCAUUACAUACAUUAGACCAGCUAUGUUUAUUUCUAGGUGAGUUUCCCUAAGGUGGUUGAAAUGCCUAAAAAAAUUUUGAAGAUGCCUUUAUACCUAAUAACAACAGCACAGUCGCACCACUGUAUGCUCAGUAAGUGUUUCUCACAGUGGAGGGGCACAUUUAACAGAACUCGCUGUAAGUAUUUUAUAAAUCAACAAUAACAGACCCACGGGGUUAGGAUCAUUGUUUUAUUUUGCUGGCAGGGACCUGAAGCAUGUCAGAUGUUAUACAAAGACAAGAGAGAAUGUGUGAGGAGAUAGUUAUGCUAAUACUUCCCCCCUUCCUCUCUGGAGUAACUGCCUUAACAUUACACAAGUUGAUGUGUCCUCAGCCGUUCCAAAUUACCUACACCUGUUGGAUCUGGCACAUUAAAUAAAUACCCAAUGAAACAUAACUGCUAAAACCCUUUUCCUUAAAUGUUCUUAAAGACCAGCAUCUCACUUGUUUGUAAAGACUGUCUUAUGCUGCUUGACUGCUUCCAACAGUAAGCCCACAGAUGUCAGUGACCUCUCAGAGUUCACAGGGGACAGUUUAACUUCUCAGGGUCUUUUAGAUGUUCCCAGUCAUCCUCAUCUCAUGAAUAUGCCAUGUACCCAGCCGCUCCUGUCUGCCCUGGAGAUCUGUGCUGAUGUGGCUGGUUGGCCAAUGGACCAAUUGUCACUUCACGAUGGAGUUUCAGGCCUGAGGGAAAACUUUCUCUGCAGAUGUUCAUCCCACAAAGCAGCUGCUCAUACGCCAUGCCUUCCAUCCUCAUCCCUACAGCCAGCCCAAAGCUCACACAAUGACAUGCCCUAUACCACCCAUUUCCCUCCAGGAAUGCCCAUGCACAGCAGGCACUGUGACACACAGAGCCAUAGAAUCAUUCAGGUUGGAAAAGAUCUCUAAGAUCACCAAGUCCCCACCAUGCCCACUAACCACAGC
Long non-coding RNA from Phasianus colchicus (ring-necked pheasant), 5677 nucleotides. RefSeq lists it as uncharacterized. Lineage: Eukaryota; Metazoa; Chordata; Aves; Galliformes; Phasianidae. The record is from RefSeq and is a predicted model, not a curated record.